GACGAACGCUGGCGGCGUGCUUAACACAUGCAAGUCGAACGGAAAGGCCUGCUUUCCCUUGUGGAUUGCGGGUACUCGAGUGGCGAACGGGUGAGUAACACGUGGGUGAUCUGCCCCCAACUUGGGUAUAAGCCUGGGAAACUGGGUCUAAUUCCCGAUAGGACUUGAGGGGGGUGGCUUUGGUGGAAAACGAUUUUCUUGUGGUUGGGGAUGAGCUCGCGGCCUAUCAGCUUGUUGGUGGGGUAAUGGCCUACCAAGGCGGCGACGGGUAGCCGGCCUGAGAGGGUGGACGGCCACAUUGGGACUGAGAUACGGCCCAGACUCCUACGGGAGGCAGCAGUGGGGAAUAUUGCACAAUGGGCGGAAGCCUGAUGCAGCGACGCCGCGUGGGGGAUGACGGCCUUCGGGUUGUAAACUCCUUUCGACCGCGAGGAAGCCACCUGGUUGGAAGGGUGGUGACGGUAGUGGUAGAAGAAGCACCGGCUAACUACGUG
This 494-nucleotide ribosomal RNA is filed under the name uncultured bacterium. RNAcentral describes it as "partial 16S ribosomal RNA". It matches the Rfam family "Bacterial small subunit ribosomal RNA", at positions 28 to 507 of the family's 1533-position model. The record is from RNAcentral.